GUUGGGCAUACGAGGAAUCCCAUUUAAUGGGUAAUUUGCACCUGAGUAUAUUCAUUGAUGCUAUCACCUUGGAGAUCUGAUGCCUCUU
Molecule: small nucleolar RNA, 88 nt
Filed under: Nelumbo nucifera (sacred lotus)
Lineage: Eukaryota; Viridiplantae; Streptophyta; Magnoliopsida; Proteales; Nelumbonaceae
Source: RNAcentral